Molecule: ribosomal RNA, 327 nt
Filed under: uncultured eukaryote
Lineage: Eukaryota
Description: partial 18S ribosomal RNA
Rfam family: Eukaryotic small subunit ribosomal RNA
Source: RNAcentral
CCCUUAGAUGUUCUGGGCCGCACGCGCGCUACACUGACGGAUUCAACGAGCUUACAACCUUGGCCGAAAGGUCUGGGUAAUCUCCAAAAUCCGUCGUGAUGGGGAUAGAUUAUUGCAAUUAUUAAUCUUCAACGAGGAAUGCCUAGUAAGCGCAAGUCAUCAGCUUGCGUUGAUUACGUCCCUGCCCUUUGUACACACCGCCCGUCGCUCCUACCGAUUGAAUGGUCCGGUGAAGCGCUCGGACCGCGGCCUCUUGACGGUUCGCUGUCGAUUGGCUGUGGGAAGUUCGUUAAACCUUAUCAUUUAGAGGAAGGAGAAGUCGUAACA